RNAcentral lists this ribosomal RNA (467 nucleotides) under uncultured bacterium. RNAcentral describes it as "partial 16S ribosomal RNA". It matches the Rfam family "Bacterial small subunit ribosomal RNA", at positions 28 to 507 of the family's 1533-position model. The record is from RNAcentral.
GAUGAACGCUGGCGGCGUGCUUAACACAUGCAAGUCGAACGGAAAGGCCCAAGCUUGCUUGGGUACUCGAGUGGCGAACGGGUGAGUAACACGUGGGUGAUCUGCCCUGCACUUCGGGAUAAGCCUGGGAAACUGGGUCUAAUACCGGAUAGGACCACUUCUUGGAUGUUGUGGUGGAAAGUUUUUUCGGUGUGGGAUGAGCUCGCGGCCUAUCAGCUUGUUGGUGGGGUACUGGCCUACCAAGGCGUCGACGGGUAGCCGGCCUGAGAGGGUGUACGGCCACAUUGGGACUGAGAUACGGCCCAGACUCCUACGGGAGGCAGCAGUGGGGAAUAUUGCACAAUGGGCGCAAGCCUGAUGCAGCGACGCCGCGUGGGGGAUGACGGCCUUCGGGUUGUAAACUCCUUUCGCUAGGGACGAAGCGUUUUGUGACGGUACCUGGAGAAGAAGCACCGGCUAACUACGUG